Molecule: ribosomal RNA, 832 nt
Filed under: uncultured bacterium
Lineage: Bacteria
Description: bacterial SSU rRNA
Rfam family: Bacterial small subunit ribosomal RNA
Source: RNAcentral
AGAGUUUGAUCCUGGCUCAGGAUGAACGCCGGCGGUGUGCCUAAUACAUGCAAGUCGAGCGCAUUGGCCCAACUGAUAUGACGUGCUUGCACUGAAUUGAUGUUGGAUUACCAGUGAGCGGCGGACGGGUGAGUAACACGUGGGCAACCUGCCCUGAAGCGGGGGAUAACAUCUGGAAACAGGUGCUAAUACCGCAUAACAACGAAAACCACAUGGUUUUCGUUUCAAAGAUGGUUUCGGCUAUCACUUCAGGAUGGGCCCGCGGUGCAUUAGCUAGUUGGUAAGGUAACGGCUUACCAAGGCAAUGAUGCAUAGCCGAGUUGAGAGACUGAUCGGCCACAAUGGAACUGAGACACGGUCCAUACUCCUACGGGAGGCAGCAGUAGGGAAUCUUCCACAAUGGGCGCAAGCCUGAUGGAGCAACACCGCGUGAGUGAAGAAGGGUUUCGGCUCGUAAAGCUCUGUUGUUGGAGAAGAACGUGCGUGAGAGUAACUGUUCACGCAGUGACGGUAUCCAACCAGAAAGUCACGGCUAACUACGUGCCAGCAGCCGCGGUAAUACGUAGGUGGCAAGCGUUAUCCGGAUUUAUUGGGCGUAAAGCGAGCGCAGGCGGUUGCUUAGGUCUGAUGUGAAAGCCUUCGGCUUAACCGAAGAAGGGCAUCGGAAACCGGGCGACUUGAGUGCAGAAGAGGACAGUGGAACUCCAUGUGUAGCGGUGGAAUGCGUAGAUAUAUGGAAGAACACCAGUGGCGAAGGCGGCUGUCUGGUCUGCAACUGACGCUGAGGCUCGAAAGCAUGGGUAGCGAACAGGAUUAGAUACCCUGGUAGUCC